Diuraphis noxia (Russian wheat aphid) is the source of this 463-nucleotide long non-coding RNA. NCBI's taxonomy places the organism in Eukaryota, Metazoa, Arthropoda, Insecta, Hemiptera, Aphididae. The record is from RefSeq and is a predicted model, not a curated record.
GUGUUUUGAUGCGAAGUUGUCGAGUAUUACGUGAGUACUGCUGAUCCGUCUGAGAAAUUGCAUACAACAAGUUCGCGAUAUUACGCGGUAUAGUGUCAGUAUAUAGGUUUAAUACAAUAUACAAGAACAAUAGUACGCUUGGCCUUUGUCGUCGACUGAUUAAUGUUAUCUUCGGCAGCCGUUCGACUCGUCUGAGAAUAAGUUCCAACGAAGUGCGUUAAACGAGGAAACGUCGUUUUACAUUCACACGGAAUAUUAAUCGCUAUCGUCGUUAAUCAUAUAAUUAAUAAAAAUGAAUAGCAUUGACAACAUCUAAUCUCAUUAUAUUGCAGCUAGAAGGGUUAUAACUAGGUUGUUCAGUGUUUACGUCCAAAGCACAAAGCGUGGUUGGUAUCAUAAUAUAAACGACCUCAAUAAUUGUGUCCACUCAACGACAGUCUAUAUAGAUGAAGAAUAGGAAAAA